AUUGAACGCUGGCGGCAUGCCUUACACAUGCAAGUCGAACGGCAGCACGGGUGCUUGCACCUGGUGGCGAGUGGCGAACGGGUGAGUAAUACAUCGGAACAUGUCCUGUAGUGGGGGAUAGCCCGGCGAAAGCCGGAUUAAUACCGCAUACGCUCUACGGAUGAAAGCGGGGGACCUUCGGGCCUCGCGCUAUAGGGUUGGCAGAUGGCUGAUUAGCUAGUUGGUGGGGUAAAGGCCUACCAAGGCGACGAUCAGUAGCUGGUCUGAGAGGACGACCAGCCACACUGGGACUGAGACACGGCCCAGACUCCUACGGGAGGCAGCAGUGGGGAAUUUUGGACAAUGGGCGAAAGCCUGAUCCAGCAAUGCCGCGUGUGUGAAGAAGGCCUUCGGGUUGUAAAGCACUUUUGUCCGGAAAGAAAUCCUUGGCCCUAAUACGGUCGGGGGAUGACGGUACCGGAAGAAUAAGCACCGGCUAACUACGUG
RNAcentral lists this ribosomal RNA (486 nucleotides) under uncultured bacterium. RNAcentral describes it as "partial 16S ribosomal RNA". It matches the Rfam family "Bacterial small subunit ribosomal RNA", at positions 30 to 507 of the family's 1533-position model. The record is from RNAcentral.